CCUACGGGCGGCAGCAGUGAGGAAUAUUGGUCAAUGGGCGGGAGCCUGAACCAGCCAAGUCGCGUGAGGGAAGACGGUCCUAUGGAUUGUAAACCUCUUUAGGCGGGGAGCAAUGCCGGGCACGCGUGCCCGGAGGGAGAGUACCCGCAGAAUAAGCAUCGGCUAACUCCGUGCCAGCAGCCGCGGUAAUACGGAGGAUGCGAGCGUUAUCCGGAUUUAUUGGGUUUAAAGGGUGCGUAGGCGGAUUUUUAAGUCAGCGGGAAAAUGGCCGGGCUCAACCCGGGCCGGCCGUUGAAACUGGGGAUCUUGAGUGGGCGAGAAGUAUGCGGAAUGCGUGGUGUAGCGGUGAAAUGCAUAGAUAUCACGCAGAACUCCGAUUGCGAAGGCAGCAUACCGGCGCCCGACUGACGCUGAGGCACGAAAGCGUGGGGAUCGAACAGGAUUAGAUACCCUGGUAGUC
RNAcentral lists this ribosomal RNA (460 nucleotides) under uncultured bacterium. RNAcentral's name for it is "partial 16S ribosomal RNA". It matches the Rfam family "Bacterial small subunit ribosomal RNA", at positions 338 to 795 of the family's 1533-position model. The record is from RNAcentral.